RNAcentral lists this non-coding RNA (67 nucleotides) under uncultured Ruminococcus sp. The record is from RNAcentral. Lineage: Bacteria; Bacillati; Bacillota; Clostridia; Eubacteriales; Oscillospiraceae.
UAGUAACAACGAACUAUGAGAAGUCAGCAGAGGUCAUAGUACCGGAAAAAAAAACUUCGGGAAGGAC